This is a long non-coding RNA of Gossypium arboreum, 651 nucleotides long. RefSeq lists it as uncharacterized. The record is from RefSeq and is a predicted model, not a curated record. The transcript has 2 exons. Lineage: Eukaryota; Viridiplantae; Streptophyta; Magnoliopsida; Malvales; Malvaceae.
CAAAUUGGGCUUCGAUCAUUUAUUGCUCAACCGAUCAACUUCUGGGUCUUUCACUUGGCUCAAAAAAUAUGUCCAUAGCAAUGUGAGAUCCAAUCCUUGAGAAAUAAGAAAAAAAAGGUUGGCAUCGUAGAAGGCCUCGGUGCAGUCUUACGGUGGUAGAUUAACUUUGUUAAACUCCACUUUAGCCAAUCUACCACUACUCAAGGCGCCUGUUGUAGUGUGCAAUAAGCUUUGCCUGCAGGAAUCCUGGACCUGCGGGUGUUGAAAGUCUACUUGACAAUGCACAAGGUGUGAUGCUUUCCUCUUUAUCCAAGUCUACUUGGACUGGCUAAUGCUAAUCUUACAAUACUGGAGGAGAGAGAAGGGGAUGAUAGGAUUUAAAUGUGUCAUUUAGAUGUCAGACAAUAGCUUUAACAAAUGUUUCAAAUAAUUCUUGGCUAAUGGUGACCUGGGUUAUGAUAGCUUUUUUGAUUUUAUCACCUAACCUGAUUGUUGACAUGGUUGGGCUGUUCUUAUGGGUGGUGUUGAUGUUUUUGUUGGUUUGCAGUCUAGUCGCAUGGCUUUGAUCCGUAACUGUAGCUGAUGGUUCUGCCAUCUUGUCUACUGCUUGAUCAUGAUUCAAUAAUUGAAGAGUUUAUAAUGCUUUAAUAA